GACGAACGCUGGCGGCGUGCUUAACACAUGCAAGUCGAACGAUGACGACCGAGCUUGCUCGGUCUGAUUAGUGGCGAACGGGUGAGUAACACGUGAGCAACCUGCCCUUCACUCUGGGAUAACCUCGGGAAAUCGGGGCUAAUACCGGAUAUGAGCUCCUGUCGCAUGGCGGGUGUUGGAAAGUUUUUCGGUGAAGGAUGGGCUCGCGGCCUAUCAGUUUGUUGGUGAGGUAGUGGCUCACCAAGGCGAUGACGGGUAGCCGGCCUGAGAGGGCGACCGGCCACACUGGGACUGAGACACGGCCCAGACUCCUACGGGAGGCAGCAGUGGGGAAUAUUGCACAAUGGGCGAAAGCCUGAUGCAGCGACGCCGCGUGAGGGAUGACGGCCUUCGGGUUGUAAACCUCUUUCAGCAGGAAAGAAGCGAAAGUGACGGUACCUGCAGAAGAAGCGCCGGCUAACUACGUG
This 467-nucleotide ribosomal RNA is filed under the name uncultured bacterium. Its description in RNAcentral is "partial 16S ribosomal RNA". It matches the Rfam family "Bacterial small subunit ribosomal RNA", at positions 28 to 507 of the family's 1533-position model. The record is from RNAcentral.